Molecule: long non-coding RNA, 271 nt
Filed under: Elaeis guineensis (African oil palm)
Lineage: Eukaryota; Viridiplantae; Streptophyta; Magnoliopsida; Arecales; Arecaceae
Description: long non-coding RNA (EGUI_LNC008785)
Source: RNAcentral
GGGCCCCCCUCCUCCGCUUGAGCAGAUUCCACCUGCAAUUUAGGAGUGCUGCAUUGCAGAGUUCUGAGAUUCUGCGGUGUUUAGGAGGAAAAUGCUCGACGUCGCCACUGCCACCUUCAUCCAGGGUUCGAUGAUUGCAAGACCCAUCUGCUGAGGAUAAUGCCAUAUCUAGAACUUCACAGCAUACAAGUUAGUAGUACCGACGAAGAGGUAGAGAUCUUGAUGGAUGAAGAUUGAAUCAGCUCAUCCGGAUGGUGAGGAGGUGAAGUCC